GACGAACGCUGGCGGCGUGCUUAACACAUGCAAGUCGAACGGAAAGGCCCUGCUUUUGUGGGGUGCUCGAGUGGCGAACGGGUGAGUAACACGUGAGUAACCUGCCCUUGACUUUGGGAUAACUUCAGGAAGCUGGGGCUAAUACCGGAUAGGAGCUCCUGCUGCAUGGUGGGGGUUGGAAAGUUUCGGCGGUUGGGGAUGGACUCGCGGCUUAUCAGCUUGUUGGUGGGGUAGUGGCUUACCAAGGCUUUGACGGGUAGCCGGCCUGAGAGGGUGACCGGCCACAUUGGGACUGAGAUACGGCCCAGACUCCUACGGGAGGCAGCAGUGGGGAAUAUUGCACAAUGGGCGGAAGCCUGAUGCAGCAACGCCGCGUGCGGGAUGACGGCCUUCGGGUUGUAAACCGCCUUCGCCUGUGACGAAGCGUGAGUGACGGUAAUGGGUAAAGAAGCACCGGCUAACUACGUG
Molecule: ribosomal RNA, 468 nt
Filed under: uncultured bacterium
Lineage: Bacteria
Description: partial 16S ribosomal RNA
Rfam family: Bacterial small subunit ribosomal RNA
Source: RNAcentral